Molecule: ribosomal RNA, 374 nt
Filed under: uncultured cyanobacterium
Lineage: Bacteria; Bacillati; Cyanobacteriota
Description: bacterial SSU rRNA
Rfam family: Bacterial small subunit ribosomal RNA
Source: RNAcentral
CCAGGAAGGUUUUUGGAUCGUAAACCCCUUUUGUCAAGGAAGAAGCUCUGACGGUACUUGACGAAUAAGCCUCGGCUAACUCCGUGCCAGCAGCCGCGGUAAUACGGAGGAGGCAAGCGUUAUCCGGAAUGAUUGGGCGUAAAGCGUCUGUAGGUGGCCAGCUAAGUCUGCUGUUAAAGAUCACAGCUCAACUGUGGGAAGGCAGUGGAAACUGGCAAGCUAGAGGUUGGUAGGGGUAAAGGGAAUUCCCGGUGUAGCGGUGAAAUGCGUAGAUAUCGGGAAGAACACCGGUGGCGAAAGCGCUUUACUGGGCCAGACCUGACACUGAAGGACGAAAGCUAGGGGAGCGAAAGGGAUUAGAUACCCCUGUAGUC